GUGCGCCGCCGCGUCCUUUCCGCUCCCAGGGUGGUGAUUGCGUACCCGGGGCCGCCUGGGGCGUGGAUGGAACGAAGGCCCGGCUCUCCGGAGGCUUUCAGUGGGGCGACCAGGGUGUCUCUGUGUCUUAGUCCAGAAAAGUGCCCCCCCGGCACGUGGGCUUGAGUCGCACAGCGCAGAGCAGAGCGCGCUCCUCCUGGGUGUGCGGAGGGCCCAGUUAUCCGACCCGUGUGAAUCGGACACCAGGGAACCGACAGAUUACACAAAUGCUGUGGAAUCCUGGUCUGCCACCUCGGAGCAGUCUUGGAGAACGGAAAGGGCUCGGGUGACUGCAGUGGGGAAAAUGCUCUCCUCGUCUUCAAAAUGAUAAGUUCAAUUUUGUAAACCUCAGAUAGUUUAGUGCCUCUUCUGCCCUUAGCCUAAGCCAGGGGCUCUCAACAUCGACACUAUAUUUACCUCUGAGCCGGAUAAGUCUUUGUUGCAGGAGGGCUGUCCUUGCCCCUCUACCCACUAGAUGCCAGCAGCAAACCCUGCCAUCCCUCCCCCAGAGUGACUGUUUUUAAUUUUAUUUUUGGAGUAGUAAACAUUGACGAAGGUUCGAGAUAUCUCGCUUCUACCCUUACCUUCUCCAGUCCUUUUCACCCCAAGUUCAUUAGUUCAUCUUUAUCCUUCUAGCUUAUCUUCUUGCAGAGAUAAGCAACAUAAAUAUAUUGUGACAUGAGAAAUAAAAUUGAGUCACUAUGUCACCGGGUUUUAAAUGGAGCUGGAAGGCCAUCACGGAGGUGGACUUAUGCACAGCCUCACCAGGUAGAACGACAAACCUUUGAACUGGGCGGAACCACAAAAGCUCCAAGGACUCUGCAAGAACAACCUGCAACUUGUCACAGUCUUUCAUCUAAUGGCUCAGAUGAAAUUUGCACUUUCCAGCCUGACACGUUAACCCAGCACCUGAAGGACAGGUGCCCAAAGAGAAGCUGACUUUCUCAUCUGGUCAGGAAUCACCUGGGCAAUCCAUUUCACAAUGCAAUGCAGAGCGAGAUGAACCAGAACCUGCUGUCUGGGAUAGGGGCCAUCCCACCUCCCAGGCGACGUGAGACCUGCACGAGGACCCUGGGGCGCUCUCCCCCUGUGGGCUAUCUGAGCAACACCACAGCCAAGUCCUGGGGUCACAUCUACGGUUUGAUGAACUUGAUGUUUGCGCAUCACCUUUAGUAACUUUAUUACCCGAACCACCUAGCAUUCACGAAAUGGCGACCGUGACACACUAGCUGUGCUGUGACUGUUUCGCUCAUUCCACAAACUUAUUGAGCACCUGCUCUACAGACCAGGAGGUACACUAGGGUCUGGUGACGUCGUGGUAGGAGACACGGUCCCCGGCCUCAGGAUACCAGAUAGAUAUUGUGAGAUAAUAGAAAAAAAUGUGUACUGGAGUCUGCCACUGGCUCCUGGCACAGGGCUCCGGAGCCCUUGUAAUUUCCUGGGUGAUAGGAGUGUCUUCUGUUCUAAUGAGGUGACUCUGGGUGGGCUCCGGGCUGAGGGCUGCUCACUGGAAAGACCUACCCGUGAUUAGAAGCUUGGGAUCUUCCGCCUCACCACCCCGCAUUCUCUUGAGAAGGGAGAAGAUCUGAAAAAUGGAAUUAAUAAUGGAUCAUGCCCACGUGAGGAAGCCUCCGUACGUAAAAUCCCACUAGUGUGAGGUUCAGAGAGCUUCCAGGUGGGUGAGCACAGCCACACAGGGAGGGUGACGCACCCCAUCUCCAAGCGGACAGAGGCUCCUGCACUCAGGACCCUCCCAGACCUCGCCCUGUGCAUCUCUUCAUCUGGCUGUUCAUCUGUGUCCUUUGUCUUUUAA
Long non-coding RNA from Mesoplodon densirostris (Blainville's beaked whale), 1852 nucleotides. RefSeq lists it as uncharacterized. Lineage: Eukaryota; Metazoa; Chordata; Mammalia; Artiodactyla; Ziphiidae. The transcript is spliced from 4 exons. The record is from RefSeq and is a predicted model, not a curated record.